AAGUCGUAACAAGGUUUCCGUAGGUGAACCUGCGGAAGGAUCAUUAACACGUAUCCACGUAUCAACCAACCGCGAACUCGUUUUCAACUCUCCCUUCGGUGGCACAUGAAUUGGAAUUAAAACAAAGUAGUGAGCGGGGCUUUCGGGCCAGCUUUGUUUCAACCACUGGGAUAAAUAUUCAUUUAUUUAUUUCGACAAUUGUAGUGUUCCGGAGGCAAACCUUCUGUUACUUUCAUCUCCACUCAUGAUCGGAGUAACGGGAAAUCUAUUAACCUAUUUCACCCCCUUUUUGCUAGUUGACUUUAUUAUGUUGUUAUCAGUAAGAUUUAUUUCUUAUUGGUCUCACACGUUUAAUUACUUAAACGAUAGAACAACUCUUAGCAAUGGAUAUCUUGGUUCUC
RNAcentral lists this unclassified non-coding RNA (401 nucleotides) under fungal sp. Its description in RNAcentral is "partial internal transcribed spacer region". The stretch from base 1 to 46 matches the Rfam family "Eukaryotic small subunit ribosomal RNA", at positions 1786 to 1831 of the family's 1831-position model. Lineage: Eukaryota; Fungi. The record is from RNAcentral.